AUUGAACGCUGGCGGCAUGCCUUACACAUGCAAGUCGAACGGUAACAGGUCUUCGGAUGCUGACGAGUGGCGAACGGGUGAGUAAUACAUCGGAACGUGCCCGAUCGUGGGGGAUAACGAAGCGAAAGCUUUGCUAAUACCGCAUACGAUCUACGGAUGAAAGCAGGGGACCGCAAGGCCUUGCGCGAACGGAGCGGCCGAUGGCAGAUUAGGUAGUUGGUGGGAUAAAAGCUUACCAAGCCGACGAUCUGUAGCUGGUCUGAGAGGACGACCAGCCACACUGGGACUGAGACACGGCCCAGACUCCUACGGGAGGCAGCAGUGGGGAAUUUUGGACAAUGGGCGAAAGCCUGAUCCAGCCAUGCCGCGUGCAGGAUGAAGGCCUUCGGGUUGUAAACUGCUUUUGUACGGAACGAAAAGACUCUGGUUAAUACCUGGGGUCCAUGACGAUACCGUAAGAAUAAGCACCGGCUAACUACGUG
RNAcentral lists this ribosomal RNA (482 nucleotides) under uncultured bacterium. RNAcentral's name for it is "partial 16S ribosomal RNA". It matches the Rfam family "Bacterial small subunit ribosomal RNA", at positions 30 to 507 of the family's 1533-position model. The record is from RNAcentral.